AGAAUCAACGCUGGCGGCGUGCCUAACACAUGCAAGUCGAACGAGAAAGUGGAGCAAUCCAUGAGUAAAGUGGCGACCGGGUGAGUAACACGUGACUAACCUACCUUUGAGUGGGGGAUAACAUCGGGAAACCGAUGCUAAUACCGCAUAACAUCGCAAGAUCAAAGCAGCAAUGCGCUUAAAAGAGGGGGUCGCGGCUGAUUAGCUAGUUGGCGGGGUAACGCCCACCAAGGCGAAGAUCGGUA
This 245-nucleotide ribosomal RNA is filed under the name uncultured bacterium. RNAcentral describes it as "partial small subunit ribosomal RNA". It matches the Rfam family "Bacterial small subunit ribosomal RNA", at positions 26 to 285 of the family's 1533-position model. The record is from RNAcentral.